RNAcentral lists this ribosomal RNA (256 nucleotides) under uncultured bacterium. Its description in RNAcentral is "partial 16S ribosomal RNA". It matches the Rfam family "Bacterial small subunit ribosomal RNA", at positions 524 to 776 of the family's 1533-position model. The record is from RNAcentral.
UACGUAGGCAGCAAGCGUUGUUCGGAGUUACUGGGCGUAAAGGGUGUGUAGGCGGUUCGAUAAGUCGGGUGUGAAACCUCCAGGCUCAACCUGGAGACGCCACCCGAUACUGUCGUGACUAGAGUCCAGUAGGGGAGCGUGGAAUUCCUGGUGUAGCGGUGAAAUGCGCAGAGUAUCAGGAGGAACACCGGUGGCGAAGGCGGUUCUCUGGGCCUGUACUGACGCUGAGGAGCGAAAGCGUGGGGGAGCGAACAGG